This 697-nucleotide long non-coding RNA is filed under the name Sorghum bicolor (sorghum). RNAcentral describes it as "long non-coding RNA (SBIC_LNC009569)". Lineage: Eukaryota; Viridiplantae; Streptophyta; Magnoliopsida; Poales; Poaceae. The record is from RNAcentral.
UAAGCACUGCAUGGAUGAACAUGAAACAACAUUUGUAUUCAUCUGAUUAGACAAAUACAUUUUGUGAACAUUGAGAUUGAUAGCUAUAUAGUUUACAAUUGAGACAAGUAGUGUUCAAACUUUAUAUAGACCAUAAGGGACAACAUUGUUCAUAUAGAAAUUUGAGAUGAUGAAGGUUGUGAAACUAAUUAGUGACAACAUUGUUUAGAUAGAAAUUUGAGAUGUUCAAGGAAACUGAGAAGAAAGUAGAGAAUUCCAAAGAAAGCUAAAAAGAAAGUAAAGAGUUUCUGAGGAAGCUUUCAAACGUGGAUAAUUUUUGAGGAAGCGUUGACUUGAAGUAAAGGGUUUUUUGCUGACACUUUGGCAGACAUUAUUGAGCAAGUUUGUGAUGUUUAUCAUUAUUCAUGUUAGUUUGAAUCAUAGUUUUCCUUAUAUUUAAAUUGUUGUUCUUGCAAUGUAACCUUUAUCUUUGAUAUUGAGCUUGAACUUGAUCACAAUCCACAAUCAAUAGGGUAAGGUGUUCAUUAAAAAUCUGUAUUUUACCUUUACAAAUUAAAUUAUCAGUACUUGAGUCUUGAGUUCAAAGUUGAAAUUGUGUUUGUGAAAAAUAGAAAGUUGACUUGUUGCAAAGUCCAGAUCCUUUGCAUGCAUGACUCAUUGCGAUCUUGAAUAAUUCCAAAAUUUUAAAAAAAGAUUG